This 513-nucleotide ribosomal RNA is filed under the name uncultured bacterium. Its description in RNAcentral is "partial 16S ribosomal RNA". It matches the Rfam family "Bacterial small subunit ribosomal RNA", at positions 28 to 523 of the family's 1533-position model. The record is from RNAcentral.
GAUGAACGCUGGCGGCGUGCCUAAUACAUGCAAGUCGAACGCGCAGCGAAAGGUACUUGCACCUUUCAAGCGAGUGGCGAACGGGUGAGUAACACGUGGAUAACCUGCCUCAAGGCUGGGGAUAACAUUUGGAAACAGAUGCUAAUACCGAAUAAAACUUAGUAUCGCAUGAUACAAAGUUAAAAGGCGCUACGGCGUCACCUAGAGAUGGAUCCGCGGUGCAUUAGUUAGUUGGUGGGGUAAAGGCUUACCAAGACGAUGACGCAUAGCCGAGUUGAGAGACUGAUCGGCCACAUUGGGACUGAGACACGGCCCAAACUCCUACGGGAGGCUGCAGGAGGGAAUCUUCCACAAUGGGCGCAAGCCUGAUGGAGAAACGCCGUGUGUGUGAUGAAGGCUUUCGGGUCGUAAAGCACUGUUGUAUGGGAAGAAAUGCUAAAAUAGGGAAUGAUUUUAGUUUGACGGUACCAUACCAGAAAGGGACGGCUAAAUACGUGCCAGCCGCCGCGGUAA